CUAGACGGCAUCACUGUUUUAGAAGAAGAGUUUCUUCAGUGGUGGCCUUGGAGAAGAAGAAGAAGCCUCUUUCUGGGCGGAAGAAUCGGCGUCGUAGGAGAAGAACACCACCGAAAACCUGACACCACCAAUUAAGGCCGACGAGUCCUCCGACAAUCUAGCUCCGCAGUCCUGUAAGAGAGAUGAUGAAGUUGUUGGGGAUCGGACUAGACGCCGUCAUUCGGGGAAGGAACAUGGCGGAGAUCAAGAGGACGUUGCUGAUGGUUCCUGAGCUGGUGAGAAUGACGAGGAAGGUGGGGACAUAGAUCCAGGGCGGAGGGACGAGAUGCAGAAGAUCGCCGGCGUCAAGUUCUAGUCUUGAUGAGUCGAUGUGAAGAGAGAGAGAGGGGGAGUGCGG
Molecule: long non-coding RNA, 397 nt
Filed under: Rosa chinensis
Lineage: Eukaryota; Viridiplantae; Streptophyta; Magnoliopsida; Rosales; Rosaceae
Description: sRNA RchiOBHm_Chr7g0186091
Source: RNAcentral